UGGCAUCAGAGCAGUAGCAUCAGUAGUGGGACUAGGUGCAGGAGGCUCACCACUCGUAUCGAAGUUAUCUCAACCGAGGGGUUGAACCUAACCAGCCUAUCCUUCCAUCGAAGCUGCUCAUCCACCAGUCAGUCCAUGAUGUAACUCUUCAGCUCCUCUGAAGUUCGGAAUGACUUGAUCGCUUCGACUCGGGCAGCAGCUACCUCCUCGGCCUUCGACCAUUUCAGCUCCUCCACCUCCUUGGCUAGGGCCGCCUUCGACCAUUUCAACUCCUCUUCUCUUGAAUGGCCUCCUGCGCCUUCGCCAUCUUACUCUUGGCCAUCUCAUCACACCUCUUCAGCCUCUAGAUCUCUUUAUCU
RNAcentral lists this long non-coding RNA (359 nucleotides) under Prunus persica (peach). Its description in RNAcentral is "long non-coding RNA (PPER_LNC006910)". The record is from RNAcentral. Lineage: Eukaryota; Viridiplantae; Streptophyta; Magnoliopsida; Rosales; Rosaceae.